Molecule: unclassified non-coding RNA, 200 nt
Filed under: soil metagenome
Description: partial contains internal transcribed spacer 2 and large subunit ribosomal RNA
Source: RNAcentral
UGUGGUCGGCUCCUCUCAAAUGAAUCAGCUUGCCAGUGUUUGGUGGCAUCACGGGUGUGAUAACUAUCUACGCUUGUGGUUUUCCACCAGGUAACCUUCAGCAAUGGAGGUUCGCUGGGGCUCACAAACGUCCCACCUCGGUGAGGACAGCUUCUUGAAUGUUUGAUCUCAAAUCAGGUAGGGCUACCCGCUGAACUUAA